AUUGAACGCUGGCGGCAGGCUUAACAUAUGCAAGUCGAGCGGGGUGAUGGUGCUUGCACUAUCACUUAGCGGCGGACGGGUGAGUAAUGCUUAGGAAUCUGCCUAUUAGUGGGGGACAACAUCUCGAAAGGGAUGCUAAUGCCGCAUACGUCCUACGGGAGAAAGCAGGGGAUCACUUGUGACCUUGCGCUAAUAGAUGAGCCUAAGUCGGAUUAGCUAGUUGGUGGGGUAAAGGCCUACCAAGGCGACGAUCUGUAGCGGGUCUGAGAGGAUGAUCCGCCACACUGGGACUGAGACACGGCCCAGACUCCUACGGGAGGCAGCAGUGGGGAAUAUUGGACAAUGGGGGGAACCCUGAUCUAGCCAUGCCGCGUGUGUGAAGAAGGCCUUAUGGUUGUAAAGCACUUUAAGCGAGGAGGAGGCUCUUUUGGUUAAUACCCAAGAUGAGUGGACGUUACUCGCAGAAUAAGCACCGGCUAACUCUGUGCCAGCCGCCGCCGUAA
RNAcentral lists this ribosomal RNA (503 nucleotides) under uncultured bacterium. RNAcentral describes it as "partial 16S ribosomal RNA". It matches the Rfam family "Bacterial small subunit ribosomal RNA", at positions 30 to 523 of the family's 1533-position model. The record is from RNAcentral.